AAACCUCCCCGUCAACGCCUGAUCUCGUCAGAUGUCAGCAGCUGAGCAGGACUGGGCCUGGUUAGAGCUUGGAUGGGACACCGCUGUGAGUACCAGGUG
RNAcentral lists this ribosomal RNA (99 nucleotides) under Periophthalmus magnuspinnatus. Lineage: Eukaryota; Metazoa; Chordata; Actinopteri; Gobiiformes; Gobiidae. The record is from RNAcentral.